GAACAAAUAGGUUGUACGAUUGUUGCUUGGUUGGAACUUUUCUUACGGCAAGCGUGGUUCAGUUUCAAGCCAUGCGUAAUAUGCUUGCAAAUUUGUGGCAUCCUAUAGCGGGUAUUGAAAUUUCAAAUUUGGGGGCCAAGCGAUUUUUAUUUCGUUUUUUUCAUAGGGUUGAUAUUGAAAGAGUGAUUAAAAGGGCCCCUUUGGACCUUUAAUAAUCAUUUGUUGAUUUUUCAUAGGAUGCAAGAUAUGGAGGACCCGAUGAUAGUUCCAUUAUUCUAUGUGCUUUUUUAGGUUCAAGUACGUGAUUUGCCUCCAGGGUUUUAUUUUAAGGCAGUG
Molecule: long non-coding RNA, 336 nt
Filed under: Gossypium barbadense (sea-island cotton)
Lineage: Eukaryota; Viridiplantae; Streptophyta; Magnoliopsida; Malvales; Malvaceae
Description: long non-coding RNA (GBAR_LNC017218)
Source: RNAcentral